RNAcentral lists this ribosomal RNA (253 nucleotides) under uncultured bacterium. Its description in RNAcentral is "partial 16S ribosomal RNA". It matches the Rfam family "Bacterial small subunit ribosomal RNA", at positions 524 to 776 of the family's 1533-position model. The record is from RNAcentral.
GACGAACCGUCCGAACGUUAUUCGGAAUCACUGGGCUUAAAGGGUGCGUAGGCGGCGCGGAAAGUUGGGUGUGAAAUCCCUCGGCUCAACCGAGGAACUGCGCCCAAUACUACCGUGCUCGAGGGAGAUAGAGGUGAGCGGAACUUAGGGUGGAGCGGUGAAAUGCGUUGAUAUCCUAAGGAACACCGGUGGCGAAGGCGGCCUGCUGGGCAGUUGCUGACGCUGAGGCGCGACAGCGUGGGGAGCAAACAGG